CAAUUUUCGACCAUUCAUUUCUCAAAGUCUAUGAGGUAGACGUCCCUAUUUCUCUCGCCCACACAGACAAAAUCGUCUCGAACAGUAGUACAUCAUCGCACAACGUCCUUUCUGUGAACCAUGAGUAGUAUUUUCUACGAAUCUUAAUCUCCAAUUAAUGUAAAAUAAGGAGUCUCAGAGUAACUGCUAUUUGAUUCGGAGUUCACAGGUUCAAGCAGUGGCAACAGCCUCUUGUAGAAAUGCAGGGUUUAGGGAAGAAGAUCAGAAUAGGAUUCGACGGAUUCGGAAAAAUUAAUCGGUUUAUUAAGAGAGGAGCUGGCCAGAGGAAUGAUUCGAAGGUUCCUAGACGAAA
Long non-coding RNA from Capsicum annuum, 352 nucleotides. RefSeq lists it as uncharacterized. The transcript is spliced from 3 exons. The record is from RefSeq and is a predicted model, not a curated record. NCBI's taxonomy places the organism in Eukaryota, Viridiplantae, Streptophyta, Magnoliopsida, Solanales, Solanaceae.